Molecule: RNA transcript, 5369 nt
Organism: Aegilops tauschii subsp. strangulata
Lineage: Eukaryota; Viridiplantae; Streptophyta; Magnoliopsida; Poales; Poaceae
Source: RefSeq, a predicted model, not a curated record
CCCAUCGCAACCCGCGUGUCUGUGUCGCCCUCCUCCUCGCAGCCGCUUUGUCAUUUCAAACACGCAACCUCGAGCAGAGUCGAGCAAGAGAGAGAGAGAGAGAGAGAGAGAGAGAGAGAGAGAGAGCUCCGCCUCGCCGCUCGAUCCAGUGUUUUGGUGGUGACUCGUCCGCUUUCUUCAUCGUGCUGCCCCGCUUCCUCCGCCUCCCUUCUGUUCCUGCCGGCGGGAUCUGUGGCAUCUCUCGGCCCCGCACUGACCCGUCCCCAUUUCCGCCGCUAGCGAUUUUGUUCGUCGGAUUCGGUUUUCCCCCCUCCCUUUUUGUUGUUCCUAUGAUGUGUUAGGUAGGGAGUUGGUUUUGUCUGUCAGCCCCCGCAGCUUUUCUCUGUGUAGAUUCAUUAGGUUGCGCCGUUUCUAGGAUGUGUUUGAUUGUUCUACUAAGCGCUGUAGCUGCGGUAGAUGGGAUGUGCGUCAGUUUGAUCUGCUGAUCUGUAAUUGAUUGGUUGUUGGAAUUCGAGCUGUUCAUGUGAGGCUGGCUUGCUUAGUUGUAGUAGUCUGGUGUAUUCAGUCAAUUCGAACGUAUGUAUUCUGUUCCCUGGCCUUUAAUCCCUAGACCAUUUCUCUUCACUGGUAUCGUUUAGUGGGUAUGUGGCUUACUCUGUAAUUCCUAUUUUUGAAUUUACAGUGAAUUACAGUGCAAUCCUCAUUGUUUUUUAGAGUGAUUUUCAGUGUAAUUCAUACUGGAUUUCAUUGAUUUUCACUGUAAUCUGUAGUGGAUUUCCAGUGUAAUUUUUUAGUGGAUAGGUAGUAUAUUUGUAGUGUAAAUCCAAAGCAGUUUGUAGUGUGAUCCCCGGUUAUUUUACAGUGUAAUUUCAGUGUAUUUUGUCAGUUGAUUUGCAUUGUAUUUGUUGGUGGAAUAACAAUGUAUAUGUCCUAAUUGCAGUGUACUUUUGUCACUGGGGUUGUACUGUAUUUGUUAGUGGAAUUAAAGUGUAUUUGUCAGUGAUGUACAGUGUAAUUUGAUAGCUGAUUUACAGUGUAAUUGCCAUGGAUUUGCAUUGUAUUCGCUAGUGGAAUUACAGUGUAAUUCACUUGAAUUUUUAUAGUGGUAUUACGUUUUGGAUUUAUAGUGUUUUUGUCAGUGAAUUUACCGUGUAAUUGAUAGCUGGUUUUACAAUGUAAAUUCAUUGUAAUUUACGCUGUAAUUGAGUAGCAGAUGAAUUGUGAGUGUUCUUUUUUUUAUCAGAAUUGUGACUGUUCUUGUGAUGCGUCGCUAGUUUGUAUGUUCUUGUGAUGCAUCUGAUUCCAGUGUAUUUUGUUAGAGGACUUAGACUGUAAUUAUAUUCGGAUUUACACUGUAAUCUUCAUCGGAAUUCCAGUGUAUUUUUCUUAGUGGGUGAUUAGAGUGUAUUUACAAUGUAAUUCUCAGUUGGUUUCCACUGUAAUUCGCGGGGGUUUUCUUCACUAUAAUUCUCAGUGGGUUAUGUAGUGAAAUAAAAGAGAUGUAGAUUGUAAAUGCUAUCAAUGCAUAUCUUCUUUAUAUUUUUGUUAUGUUUUAUCCCUUCUGCCAUUUCAUCUCAGACUUUUUGUCCUUUUCUUUGUGUUUGUACAUAUUUAGGUUAUAGAUUGAAGUAUGGGGAGACUCAUGAAGGCUUUUGGUAAGGGCACUUCUGCUGCUUGUGUUGAAGAUUGUGAUGAUUCAGAUGGGGAUCCUUUUGUCCCCAAUGAUUUUGCGGAAGGUGAUCCUUUUCAAGCUUCGGAGUUAACUGCAGGAAAGUCAAAUGGAUGAUCCUGAUUUCGACAAAGCUUUGUAUGAGUUCUACGUGUCUCGUAAAGUGAAUUGCUUAAAAUGGAAGAUUACAGAUGCUGGAGCUCGCAAUGUGCAGCUGUUGUAAAGCUAAGUCAUCGUUCGCGUGCCUGAAACAAAACAAUGCACAAAGAGACAGAUCAAGAUCCAACAAAAUCGGCACCAUGCUUCGAACAAGCGAGCUCCCGUGCGCCAUCAGGCCACCACUGGCGCAAUUAUGCCUGCUCCGUCAGCCACCGUCCAUCCACAAGCGAUCUCCCGCGCGCCCUCAUGCCGCCGCCAGCGCAAUCAGGCCUGAGAGAGAGAGAGAGGAGGGCGCUCACGUGCCUGGAUCUGGCAGCCGCUGCCGCUGCCGCCGACGACUUUGCUGUUUGUCCGACCGCCGCUCGCCGAUCUGGCGCUGUGGUCGCUGACGAGAGAAACGUUUCUGUUCGACGAGGGGUGAGAACGAGAGAAAAACGAUUCGGUGGGUGAGGCGACGAGAGUGGUUGGCGACGUCUGCGACUUUUCAGCCGUUGGGGAUAGCCACCGUUUCGAGGAAUACUCUGUGAAUCUCGGCUAUCCCCAACCAUCCUCAUCCUCCCUGUCCCCUGAACCAAACGGGUGGCAGCCACCCUAAAACGAGGCUAUCACUGUCCCAUGAGGGCCAUCCCGUGAUCCAAACGUACCCAUUGGUCUCUAUCAGUUCUGGUCCUUUCAGUAGUCAUCAUGCGAAUGUUCUCGCAAACGUAGAAUGCAUAUAAAUCAGUUCCCUGCGCCUGCUUCAGGGCCUUUACGAGAAUAGAAUUCAAUCAGAUAAUAAUUAGUCAAGCAGGAUAAUUAACGAUAUUGAAACUAUAUUUAAAGAAAUGGUAGCUAGCUGGUACUAGCUACUUAAUUAAUUACCUUCGGUCAGAUCCAUUUUAGCUCUUUUUUCCAUUGGCCAUCAACCUGUUUGAUGAACUUUUGCCAAGCCCUGCCCGCCGGCAAGGAAAAUGAAUAAAUGAGUUACUAAUUAGUUGAUAUUAAGAAAUGACGAACUAAAGAGGCCGACAUAUAGUUCGAUAAUGAUUGAAAUUACAUGUUGACCAUACCCUUCACUAUUUCAUAGUCAGUAUCUUUUUAAGUAGUGAGUCCAGUACUUGAACUUUUCCCUCGUCAACUUCAAUGAUUAACAAGAUCCAGUGGUAACUACAUGCGUACAUGUUUUUAUGUAUAAUUAAGCGGGCAUGCAUAACUCAUAAACUACCCUAAACCCUAUACACUUGUUAACAUCUAGUUAGUAAGCAAAAACAUAAUUUGUAGUACAAGACAGUGUGAUUCACCCGAAGUUGUAAGGAAGUAGUAUUUCUGGACAUGCAUUUAGGCGUUUCAAGAACUCUAGCAAGCUUUUCUCUGUGUCUUUUCUCGACCAUUCUUUUGACUAUGUCUCUUGAUUAAUGAUAUUUGGGUCAAUGAACCCGAUGCCAUAGCGUCCAGCUUUGUUCAUUUCAAACAUCUUCAUUCUGCAUAAUACCACAGAAGAGAAUAUAGUGAGGAUAAUUGCAGGUAAUGAAUAGAACGAGCACUACAACCAGCUAGAGAAUUAAAUUAAUUACAGAAAGAAACCACUUACAAACAAUAGCAACUGACGAUAGAUUUGUCGAGUGCGUCUUGAUUGAAUAGCUGAAACAUUUAUUGAAACUCAACGCACAGAUCUUUUUCAUGGUAGUAUUAGCCUUUAGGUACUUUCACCAUGAGGGACUCUCGAUUGAUAGUCUUGGCUUCUUUCAUGUACCAUUCAUGCAAUUGAUGCAUUCUCGUUGAUAGAAGCUUGACCUCCUCAGGCUUCACCAGAGGCUGGCCGCGGACAUAUUUCUGUUUUAUGUCCUCUCAAAUGAGAUCCAUGGGCUCGAUCUCUAGGAGUUGAUAAACAGUGACACCGGCCUCUUCAGCCAUCCUUCUAUGCGCGUCGGUUAUUACCAGCUGAUCGGCGCCGGUACUCGCCUGUGUUGGUAGAAUGAGCAGGGGGGGUCGAUUGCACCGCCUGUUCUCCCAGUUGGGGAAUAGUUUUCCCACUUUUUUGCCAGCUGCUUGGCUGGCGCUCGAACUCGGCUCAUUCUUUUGUGCGCUAUAUGCCUUCUUGAUUUGGCGCUCAUAGUCUGAGUCCCUAUGUGACGCCCGGAGAAUUAGCUACAGUAAUCCCACGCUAAUGAUGCCACGUCACUACGGUUACUGUUGUUAACCUCGCGAUGUUUCGAAACCAACUCAAAAUUCAAAUCCAAAUUAAUGUCAACAAUAAAAGUUUUCAAAAGUUAAAACAAAAAUGUUCGGGAGAUGCCAUAUUUUGCAUAUGUAAAUAUGGUGUAAUAAACACAUUUUUAUAAAAUGCCUAGAUAUUUUAUAGUGGAUGGAAACAACAAAGCAAUAAAUAAAAAGAAAAGUAAAACGAAACAAAACAAACCAAAAAAAAAGGAAAAGAGAAACCCCCUCCCACUAGGCUUCGGCCCAGUAGGCCACCGGCCCAACUGGGCCACGAACCACUAGGGCGGCCCAACCGGCCACCCCCACUCCAUUAUCCCCUCUCCCCCCCGUAACCCUAACCCACACACCAUUUCCCCCACUCACGCCCCCACUCUCCCCCGAUCUAGAUCGGAUCGGGCUCGACACCGCCGCCUCGCCCUCGUCCAUCGCCGCCCGGAGCACGACCUCGCCGGCGCCUCCUCCCCUGCCGGACUGCCUCCACGUCGCCGUCGUCCCCAUCGACCACCCCGACCACCGCUGCCCCGAACCCUACUAACCCGCCGUGAGCCGCGCCCCUCCUCUCUCUCCCUCGCCCCGUGCUCGUCCCCUCCCCUGCUUGCCGCUCGGGGCCGCGUCCCGCGCCCUGCCCCCCCUCGCGCGCGCCCGAGCCUCGCCUCGCUCUGCCGCUCCACUCGCCGCGGCCACCCGCACGCACGGGCGCCCUCCUCCCUGCUCGCUCACCUACGCCCGCUGCUGCCCUGCCUCGCCCGCGCCUUGGUCGCGCUCGCGUGCUCGCUGCGCGCAUCCACGCCUACCGCCGCCGCCCCGUGCGAUGUUGCUGCUGCACUGCGGCCGCCCCCGCCCAAGCACAAUGCCACUCGCCCCGCUCGCCCCCGCAGCCCGCUGCUGCCAUGCUGCUCGUCGGCUCCGCCCCGCCUUGCUCGCGGCAGCGCCCGCCACCGGCCGUUGGUGCCGCGCCCGCCGGAGCCCCGCCUCCACCCGCUGUUGCUUCGGCGACUGCCGCAGCCCGCCCAGUUCCUCCUGCGCCCGUAGUUUCCCCCACUCCCUCGCGCGCCAGCACCGGCAGGAGCUCCCGCCUCGCCGGCUAUCGCCCGCACCCGCGCCCGUGAAGCCAACGCCUGCUAAGGCCCUGGGCCACCGCCCAGUGGGCCCCCCAGCGCCCUAGCUUAAAAAAGAGUUUAAAAAAAUAAUAAAUAAAAAUAUUAAUGAAUGAAUUAAUUAACUUAAUUAAUUUUGUAUUAGAUUAACCUAAUCAUUUAGUUAACUAUUUAACCAUGUUUAAUUAACCUGAGGCUAUGACGAACGGGCCCCACGUGCCACCUGUAGACCUGCUGACAUCAUG